CCUACGGGUGGCAGCAGUGAGGAAUAUUGGUCAAUGGCCGCGAGCCUGAACCAGCCAAGUCGCGUGAGGGAAGACGGUGCUAUGGAUUGUAAACCUCUUUUGUCGGGGAGCAAAAGACGCCACGCGUGGCUUUCCGAGAGUACCCGAAGAAAAAGCAUCGGCUAACUCCGUGCCAGCAGCCGCGGUAAUACGGAGGAUGCGAGCGUUCUCCGGAUUUAUUGGGUUUAAAGGGUGCGCAGGCGGAAGAUCAAGUCAGCGGUAAAAUUGAGAGGCUCAACCUCUGCGAGCCGUUGAAACUGGUUUUCUUGAGUGAGCGAGAGGUAUGCGGAAUGCGUGGUGUAGCGGUGAAAUGCAUAGAUAUCACGCAGAACUCCGAUUGCGAAGGCAGCAUACCGGCGCUCAACUGACGCUCAUGCACGAAAGUGUGGGUAUCGAACAGGAGUAGAUACCCCAGUAGUC
This 459-nucleotide ribosomal RNA is filed under the name uncultured bacterium. Its description in RNAcentral is "partial 16S ribosomal RNA". It matches the Rfam family "Bacterial small subunit ribosomal RNA", at positions 338 to 795 of the family's 1533-position model. The record is from RNAcentral.